Molecule: ribosomal RNA, 255 nt
Filed under: uncultured bacterium
Lineage: Bacteria
Description: partial 16S ribosomal RNA
Rfam family: Bacterial small subunit ribosomal RNA
Source: RNAcentral
CUCUCCCUACGAGGCGCAGCAGUAGGGAAUCUUCCACAAUGGACGAAAGUCUGAUGGAGCAACGCCGCGUGAGUGAAGAAGGGUUUCGGCUCGUAAAGCUCUGUUGGUAGUGAAGAAAGAUAGAGGUAGUAACUGGCCUUUAUUUGACGGUAAUUACUUAGAAAGUCACGGCUAACUACGUGCCAGCAGCCGCGGUAAUACGUAGGUGGCAAGCGUUGUCCGGGUUUAUUGGGCGUAAAGCGAUGGGAGGCGGGU